UAGGAAGUAGUGUAGAGGAGGCACGAAGAGUUUUGAUCUCUUAAGUGGGGUUCGAAUCCCUUCUUUCUAA
Syngnathoides biaculeatus (alligator pipefish) is the source of this 70-nucleotide non-coding RNA. The record is from the annotation of a RefSeq genome assembly. Lineage: Eukaryota; Metazoa; Chordata; Actinopteri; Syngnathiformes; Syngnathidae.